UAAGGGCUUGGUCAUCCUCCGGAUGGACUCUCUAGGCUUCCCUGCUGGCAUUGGGGUAUUCCCUGGUGCAUUGGUUCAGAGCUCCGGGACCCUUCUUUUCGGCUGGAGAUCUCAUGAUCUUGUCAUUUGGUUCUUUAUGGUUCUGUUUUGAUCUUGUUUUGCCUGGUCUUCGACGACUGUCUGUUUUAGCUUUUGGCGUGGUCCACUGGUAUUUGUGGUCUUGUGUCUUUUGUUAUCCUCUGUUUUCGCAUAUUGUUCUUGGCCUUUGAGUUGUUUGGUUGCUUUGUA
RNAcentral lists this unclassified non-coding RNA (288 nucleotides) under Hevea brasiliensis (rubber tree). Lineage: Eukaryota; Viridiplantae; Streptophyta; Magnoliopsida; Malpighiales; Euphorbiaceae. The record is from RNAcentral.